UACGGAGGAUCCGAGCGUUAUCCGGAUUUAUUGGGUUUAAAGGGUGCGCAGGCGGAAGAUUAAGUCGGUGGUGAAAUUUUGCAGCUCAACUGUAAAAGUGCCAUUGAUACUGGUUUUCUUGAGUGUGGAUGAAGUAGGCGGAAUUUGUGGUGUAGUGGUGAAAUGCAUAGAUAUCACGAGGAACUCCGAUUGCGCAGGCAGCUUACUAAACUACUACUGACGCUCAGGCACGAAGGCGUGGGGAUCAAACAGGAUUAGAUA
This 261-nucleotide ribosomal RNA is filed under the name uncultured prokaryote. RNAcentral describes it as "partial 16S ribosomal RNA". It matches the Rfam family "Bacterial small subunit ribosomal RNA", at positions 524 to 784 of the family's 1533-position model. The record is from RNAcentral.